Molecule: long non-coding RNA, 4921 nt
Organism: Schistocerca gregaria
Lineage: Eukaryota; Metazoa; Arthropoda; Insecta; Orthoptera; Acrididae
Exons: 3
Source: RefSeq, a predicted model, not a curated record
GUAUCGUUGGCGGUCUUGUGUAAUCUUUGCUUGUUUCGUAAUAUUUUGUGGCUUCAUACGUUUUCUUGAUUGAUAAUUUCAAUUAAGUGUAGGGUGUUUUAUGUAUUUUACGUUCAUUGCUUCAUUACGUAUUAUUAUUGAGUAGUUGUGGGUGUGGAAACAAAUUUCCAUGUCUUCCAAAAUGUCCAUUACUAAGCCUUUGGAUGUCACGAUUAGAAUAUGGAUGGCUUCUUCUAAAUUAUGUGCGAUAUGUUGUUCAGAAUUUAAGCAGUAGAAGGAAAUAGAAGGAUUGUUGUCGGUGUACUUAAUGUGUUCGGAGUAUCUAAUACUGAAGUUUCAGUCAUCUGACCUACGCAGAAUUUAUCGCAAACCUUGCAUUGGAUUUUGUACAUGUCUCGGUUCCAAUAAAUAGUAACUUCUCUACAAUUUUGGUCAUUACUUCUUGGAUGGAAAUGUCAGUAAGAAGAUUUGUGAUGGGACGAAUUUCCCAUUUUACGCUAUUUUGUGCCAAGGAUCCUGAGCUUUUAUUGGUUACUUCUUCAUGGUGUUAAACACAUGUUCCUGCAAAACGAUGCGCUUCAAGUACAUAUUAAGUGUCGACAGACUCAUAUAUUACCUUCAAAGCCACCUCAGCAAGGAAAGGAGCCUCCAGCAAAGAUUCCCCGUGAAUCGUUUGAUAUUAAAACCUUAUGCUUUCAUUGUGGUCUCAAGCUUGUAGGUGUAUAUAAAUGCAGGUACCUAACUCAGGAAAAGUGGAGUUUAGUACAGAAACUUGAACUAAAUGAAAGCAUCCGAAGGGAAGCAAAUAACAGACACGACAAGUGAGGAGAAAAGGUAGGUAAGUGUGAGGCUCUCUCAGGUCAUAGGCCUCAUCAGUUCUGAUUGGAGAUCCAAAUGGCAUUGUUAUCAGACAUUUCAAAAGCCAGGGUCAUAACCGCCCAGAAAAGGAGCAGCAACAACCCAAUGUAGGUUAAGUGCUGAUGCCAAAGAGAAGACGCUUUUGAAAAGCUGUGUGAUCAUUUGGAGGAAAAUGAUGAAUGUCAGUAUGCUUUUGAAGAAUCACGAAAUAUGUUCCUUCAACAGACUCCAGAAUUCGAAUCAUAUACAGACAUACCUUUGAAAAGAAAACUUAUCCAGCGCUAUGGUAAUAGCUUGAAUUUUGCAGUUUCACCAGAGAAAAAAGUAUGAUUUGUUUUUCUGGAGCAGCUGCUAAUAUUUCAUCAGACAAUUAGUGUACAAAUCGGAACUCUGAUUACGAAGCUCAGGAGGAACUGAGAGUGAUCAAAACUGGAGCAGAUAUUAAUCGAAGUGAGAUCAAAUUCAAAAACUUUUUCACUAUCGGUAUUUCAGUUACCAACAAUUUGAAGAAAUUUGUAAAGCAGGACCUGAUCUGGUGCCUGGGCUGAAAUCAUACAGCCUACUUCUAAAAGACAAACACCCGAGAAAAUUCAAAGGACGAAACAAAUUACUGAAAGAACAAAAAUCUUCACUAUGUCAGAGUAUAAUAAGUGCUGCACGUCCAAAAUCAUUUCUGUCUCUCAUCCUACUUGGAACUGGUAUUUCAUUGCACAUAAAAGUUGGUUCAAAGGUCUUGAUCGACACCCUGUGCUAUUUGAGUGUUUGUGUGCCUUACCAGUACAAGGAAGUUUUAAAAUAUGAGAGAUCGGUCACUACCCAAGAGAGCACUACAAUUGAGAAAGAAUACCUGCAAUUUGUUUUCGAUAAUGCAGACUGCAACACCUACACUGUGGAUGACCAUAACACGUUUCGUGUCAUGGGUGAAACUGCUAGUAUAACAGCUGAAAGCGCUCUUCAGAUAGAGGACAAUGUACCUUAAAAGAAUAAAAGAAUGUUGCUGCUCACACUAUUGAAAAACGUGACAUUUAUGAUUUUCAAAUUUACGGAGCCCCAAAUACAUCUGCCUAUUUGAAAAUAAAUGCUACAAAAACGGGUUCCCUGAAAAUUAAAAACCACUGUCAUAUGAAUAUGACCGAACAUGUACAUUGUUUUGGUUGAGUGGUACCUGUCUGGAAGACACAGAAGAAUGUAAACCUUGUUGGAGUGGCUGCAUGAAAAUGGUGUAUGCAACGAAAGAGUUUCAAAUUUCCGUUGUAGUCCCUCUUCCAUUCAUCAGAUUGGCUCCUUCAAGCUGCCACAAAAGGGACUAGCAAUGGACAAAGCAUAACAAUGGUAACUUUAGAACAGCGUUUGUUAGCCAAAGCUAGUGAAACAGUAGCAGCAGCACCUGGUGAUAGCCUAUUGAAGCUACUCUUCAUCCGACUAGAAGGUUUUCACUUGUUAAUGUCCUCUUUGUCACCGAUUACAUUCAUCAUGACAGGAAGUUGCUUCGAGGAGUUGUACAGUACUGUGUAUGCUAGGAAAAUUGUACAACAAAUGAUGAACGGCAUAGCUUAUUUCAGAGUCAUUCGUGGCCUCUAUCUACAUCAAGGAGGCACUCAUUACUGUAUUUUCGAAAAAUAGUGAAGCUCUCAUUAGUGUAGAUAAAGAUGAGAUUAAUUUUGUCUAUUCAACUUUGAAGUGUGGUAAUGCAUCCUCUGGAGAGAUUACGCAGUUAGAUGCCGUGAAGAGCUUUGUAGAAAUUUUGGAAAUCCAACUUCAACGUUCAAAAGAAACAGGAUGAACACAAAAACUGUGGACUGACUUCGUAGAAAAUGAUUGAGCUUUAUCGGAUGUUUAUUAGAGCUGAGAGGAGUGGUGUCUUUCUCCUUCAUCUUCACUGUGUCCACCAAAUGCUUCCCAUUUUUCUUGCGACUGGUCACUUAAACUACGCUAAAUCUGCACAUGUUUAUCUUCAAGACUCGCUGGAACUUCUGAACUGAGUGAGUCUGGAAAACCAUUUGUUCGUUAAUUGUGGUUAUUUCACCAUCCGAAAUACAGAACAUUUUUGAUCUGGACUCUGGAGUGACUUUCCCAUUGAACAGCUUUUGAUGAGACCCUUGAGUAGCAUUGGUGGAUUGACUGGAGGCAGAGAAAUAAUAGUGACAACUAUUGCAACUUGGGUCAACUCCAUGCCAGCUUGUUCUCGGCUGUGUGAGGAAUGGAAGAAAUUUCUUGGCUUGAGGAACACAAUCCGUUUACUAAAACACCUGAACUCUCUCCCUUAGCAGAUGAAAACGUGAACCGUGAUAAAGCAUCUGAUGUUGGAACACUAGCCUUGAAAGAGAUUGAGAACAAUACAUUCAGUGCGAUACACUUGAAAAGAAAGUUAGCUGUUAAGUCUCUAGCCUCUAUAGCCAAAUCUGUGACAAUUGACAACAACACUGUAUGUGUGACCCCUAACACACUCUUACAUCGGAUGGUGUGCACAGUAAGGAGUGAUGAGUAACUGGAACAAAUAUUUCAAUUUGAAUUACGUGAUUAUUCUCCAUCGUUCUUCAACGAAUCUGGCUUGAUGAGGAAGGGAAGCCAAUCUUCAAUGGUGAUUGUGUUGUUUCCAGAUUCAAACGAAUCAUCUAUCACCCCAGAUUCAGAGAAAGUGCUCUGCAUACAUCAUUGAUAUAGGUCUUCUUCAUCUUGUUGUCUCAGAACGCACAGCUACUUUCAGACAAAUUUGAAGCAAUACUCAGAUAGAUAAUUACACAUUAUAGGCCAGCAACUGUUAUUUUUGAUGGAUAUGAGCAAGGAAGCACAAAUGAUGAAGAACACUUACGCAGAUUACGUUCUACCACUAACAUUGAAGUGAAAUCAGAAGAGACAGUCCAUGUAAAUAUCAAUAAAAGUGAAUUUCUUCCAAACGCUAUAAUUAAAAUAGACCUUAUUUCUCUCCUUACAGUGAACUUGCAAAGAGACAGUUGUACAGGGCAUCAAGCAUCGGGUGACGCUUACUUAAUAAUAGUUUUCAUACCGAUUCAUGAAGCUAAAAAAGGAGUUGAAGCUUGUGUAAUUUGUGAUGACACGGACUUACUGGUCUUGUUGACUGUCCACUCACUCACAGAACAAAUUGAAAAUUGUGGUACCAAAGAGAGGGAAUCAGCAGGUAAAAGUGUAUACUGUAUCUGAUUUGCAGCGUGGGUGGCACUGGGGAUAUGGAAGGUGUACGCUCAGCUGUAUACGCCUCCACAGGAUGUAACACUGUAUCAGCUAUCUACAAGAACAGGAAAAAUACAGUGUAUAGAAAAUUGCAAGCCAACAACGCUCUUCUUACGAAACUUUUAGUCUUCAACGACUCUAAAGCUGACUGCAAUGCAGUGGCUAACUCUGGAAGGUAUUUCCUUCUUGCAAUGUUUGGAGCCAAGAACACUGAUUAUCUAGAUUGUUUUCGAUACAAGUGUUACUUGUAGUCAAUUGCAAAGCAGCCCAUACAUUCAUUGUUAAGGUUGGCUGCACUUCCCCCAGUGUUAAGCAGCUUCAAGGCAGUGUUCAUUUACAACCUAUCACCAGGUGCAGCAGUGGCUGAAUGGGAAGAAGAAUCCGCUCGAGUGGGGGUGGAAGAUGAUUGGCGAAGACCUGAGACCAAUUACAACAGUGCAUCCAGCAGCCCUCCCCCCCCCUCCAGGAUUUACUUUCCCCCAUAAUGUGCGCUUGCAAAAGAGGAUGGGUCCGUAACUGUGAGUGCAGAAAAAGUGGUCUAAACAGCUUAAGCAUACGCAAUAAUUUCUCAGGCCUAGGAUGUGAUAACAGGGACACGAACAGCAUACACGAAGAUCUAGAUGAGUAGGCUGCUACGGCUGAAGACGACUGAGUACUGAUGAAUACUUUACACUUAUUUAAGGUUGCAUUUAAUAGUCUACAUUUUUAUUCAUUAUCCCUAUUGAACUCAGUUUAUGAAUUCCAAAAAUUUUAAUGAAACUUGGUUGCUAUAUACAGUCAAAUAUGCCUACUUUCUAAAGAGAACCCUCCAAUCGCUGCAGUUUUAAAAAUAUUAUGAUUAAAGUGAUGCUGUUAUAAAUGGUAAUUAUUA